Molecule: ribosomal RNA, 297 nt
Filed under: uncultured bacterium
Lineage: Bacteria
Description: partial 16S ribosomal RNA
Rfam family: Bacterial small subunit ribosomal RNA
Source: RNAcentral
GGAUUAGAUACCCUGGUAGUCCACGCCCUAAACGAUGACUGCUAAACGUUGGAGGUGAAUAACCUUCAGUGUUGAAGCUAACGCGUUAAGCAGUCCGCCUGAAGAUUACGGUCGCAAGACUAAAACUCAAAGGAAUUGACGGGGACCCGCACAAGCGGUGGAACAUGUGGUUUAAUUCGAAGCAACGCGAAGAACCUUACCUACUCUUGACAUCCUGAUCGCGGUUUUCCGAGAGGAAUUCCUUCAGUUCGGCUGGAUCAGUGACAGGUGCUGCAUGGCUGUCGUCAGCUCGUGCCG